Molecule: ribosomal RNA, 490 nt
Filed under: uncultured bacterium
Lineage: Bacteria
Description: partial 16S ribosomal RNA
Rfam family: Bacterial small subunit ribosomal RNA
Source: RNAcentral
AAUGAACGCUGGCGGCAUGCCUUACACAUGCAAGUCGAACGGCAGCAUGACCUAGCUUGCUAGGUUGAUGGCGAGUGGCGAACGGGUGAGUAAUGCAUCGGAACGUGCCUUUUAGUGGGGGAUAACGUAGCGAAAGCUACGCUAAUACCGCAUAUUCUCUGAGGAGGAAAGCAGGGGGCCUUCGGGCCUUGCGCUAGAAGAGCGGCCGAUGUCGGAUUAGCUAGUUGGUGAGGUAAAGGCUCACCAAGGCAACGAUCCGUAGCGGGUCUGAGAGGAUGAUCGGCCACACUGGGACUGAGACACGGCCCAGACUCCUACGGGAGGCAGCAGUGGGGAAUUUUGGACAAUGGGCGCAAGCCUGAUCCAGCCAUGCCGCGUGAGUGAAGAAGGCCUUCGGGUUGUAAAGCUCUUUCGGCUGGGAAGAAAUCGCACUCUCUAAUACAGGGUGUGGAUGACGGUACCAGCAGAAGAAGCACCGGCUAACUACGUG